Monodelphis domestica (gray short-tailed opossum) is the source of this 2267-nucleotide non-coding RNA. Lineage: Eukaryota; Metazoa; Chordata; Mammalia; Didelphimorphia; Didelphidae. The record is from RefSeq and is a predicted model, not a curated record.
UGGUCCCCUUCUCCCUACUUCCUCCCCAAGUAUCCUCACCUUCUGUAUAUCUUUUCUGGCUCUAUCCUGUCAUAUUGCCACAAUCCCCACCAAUGGUUAGCUCUGCUUCCCCUAUUGGAACUCUCUGGUCUUUUGACUUCUCCCCUCAGGUACCAACCCUUGAACCAGAUAAAUGAAUCCUUGCUGAUGCACUCUGGGUAGAAGACAGGAAAGCCGGCUUCCAGGUAGCCUGAGACCUUUCAACCUGAGGCCAGCCAGACCUUUGUUAUCUAAAUAGGGCCCAAUUAGCAGCUGAGUUGGUAGCCUGGCCAGAGUAAUCAGACAAAUGGGAAAAUGAGUAACUGAUGCAGAAAGACGAAAGGGAUUAACGGGGUAGCGCUAAGGGCUGAGGAAAGAGAAAGAACUUGAGGGAAGCCCCCAAACCCGUAGGCAUUAAGGGGAGAAGGAUUGGCCAAGGGACGUGAAUAAAUGUAAUGGAGGCCAAUGAAAAGCGGAGAAAGAAGGAGCCUUGGGACUAAUUUCAUUUCCAUGCUCUCUAUGGAGCACAAAGUGAAAUAAGGAACUGCCGUCAAUGUGCUUGGUACGGAGAGUCAAUCUGGGUCCCAAGAGCCCCGGCGACGCGAGGUUUCUCUGGUGGCAGUGGGUGAGGGCCAUGCGCACUCGAUAAUUAGCAAAUGAUACUUCUCUGUGUCGUGCCAAUGCAGGCAGUGCACACAAAAAGGCAUUUGGACCCCUUUUCGACUGGCUGUAACAGCAGCACCAACAAAGCAUGCUAGGAACGGUCCGAUCCUUCCUGGCUGGCCAGUAGAUUAGAUGUGGUACCAGAGGAAUUUUUUCCAUCUCUGAUCUCUCUCUUUAUCUGCAAGCCAGAAAUGUGUCAAAUAAUCUCCUUUUCCCAGAUGCCCGGAUUCCUCCGGCAGACAGAGGCUUAAAGGGAAGUUUCUAGCUGCCGGGAGCCUCUAACCCCAGACCUGUCAGGCUGUGUCCUUUAGGUGGAUGUAAUGAGAGAUUCUUGGAAUGACUAGGAACCACCAAUGCAAAGAAUUUCAGAAAUGGUAUACAACCUCCAGGAACUGAAGCAGAGUGAGAGGAGCAGAACCAGGAGAACAUUGUACACAGAGACAGAUACACUGUGGCACAAUCCAAUGUAAUGGACUUCUCUACUAGCAGUAGUGCAAUGAUCCAGGACAAUUCUGAGGGAGUCAUGAGAAAGAACACUUUCCAGAUCCAGAAAAAGACCUGUGGGAGUAGAAACACAGAAGAAAGACAUUUCCUUGAUCAUAUAGUUUGAUGGGGAUAGGAUUGGGGAUGUAGACUUUAAACAAUUACUCUAUUGCAAAUAUUAAUAAUAUGGAAAUAUGUCUUGAUCAAUGAUGCUUGUAAAACCCAGUUGAAUUGUGUGUUGGCUACAGGAGGGGGUAGAAGGGGAGGGAAAGAACAUGAAUCAUGUAGCCAUGGAAAAAUAUUCUAAAUUAAUUGAUUAAAGAAAAAAAGAAAUAGUAUCCAGGGAAAUCAGCCAUAUCUCUUGUCUCCCUAUGUAGAAUAGAUCAGGUACCCACUGAUCUUUAAGGAGUAUGGGGAAGAAGAAUCCUUCUGAUCUUGAUCAAGUCAUCUGAAAAGGUUUUGUACCCUUCUUUAUAUUCUUUCAAAUUCACUUAUAAUUGUUAUUGGGUUGAUAGGAUCAUAGAUUUUGAGCUAGAAAAGAACUUAGAUAUCACCUUCCUGGCCAUCUCCUUUCAUGAUCCCUGCCCUCCACUCUCACCUCAUACUCCCAUCCCUGGCACCCUGGGCUCUGAUUAGUAAGCAUUCUCCUUAGCUAGCCCAGACGAAGGCCCACCACACCAUUGCCCAGUCAUGUCCACGUCAGACUUUCCUUUAACUUCAGUUACCAUUCCCUAUGACUCAUCUGGAUAAAACCCUUCUCCCUGGUCACUACUAUUAGAACAAGUACUGUUCUUUGAGGACAAGGUCUGAGCUGCUAGCUUGUACUUGCAUCCUCAGUGCUUAACAUUUAAAUUUGUUUUAUUCCUUCCUUCACUCAUCUAUCCAUUCAUUCAUUCACACACCAUUCAUUCAGCUAGCCCAUAGCCUUCAUUUUACUGAAGAAGAAACAAAGGCCAGAAGAUAUUUCAGAGCAGAAUUGGAACCUAUGUCUCCUGACUCCAAACUCAAUGUUCUCAUAGUAGCUUUUUAUUAUUUUGUAUUUGCUCAAUCCAUACACAUUAACAGUAUUAUUGUCAUGUUAGGAUAAGCAAAACAUGUUGACA